This is a long non-coding RNA of Bos taurus (domestic cattle), 511 nucleotides long. Lineage: Eukaryota; Metazoa; Chordata; Mammalia; Artiodactyla; Bovidae. The record is from Ensembl.
GUGCACUCCGGGCCGGUCCCCACCCCUGCUCAGGGAGAGGACAGCUGGGGGCCACGCACGGGAACUAAAGUCUCCGCGGUCAUAUCUGAGUCUUCCGGCCGCCCCCGCCGCCCUCCAGCGCCUCCUGGACGACCUGCCACAUGCCCUGGGCCACGACCUGGUACUGGGAGCCACGGUCCUGCCCUUCCUCUGCUGAGGAUGAGAUGCUCUGACAGGCUUCCAGGAAGCGGCCCUCCAAGACCAGCUGUGAGAAUCCUAGAAGGAGGGAACCCGAGGCCAGUGGCUCAGGGGGUGCUGCAGGAGGGGGCAGCAGGUGGUGCUGGGCCCGGAAUCGCACUGGAGACCUGCUUCUCAACGGUAUCCAAGGGGCGACCAACCCCCGCCUCUUUCCACACACGGGACAGGCAGUGAGAGAGACGAUCGACAGAUACACAGCUUCCCGUGUGUGGUUCACGCUGUAUCUCCACGGGACAGCCCUCUCCUGGAGCUCGCACACCGCCCCCUUCCGAAC